This 253-nucleotide ribosomal RNA is filed under the name uncultured bacterium. RNAcentral describes it as "partial 16S ribosomal RNA". It matches the Rfam family "Bacterial small subunit ribosomal RNA", at positions 524 to 776 of the family's 1533-position model. The record is from RNAcentral.
UACAGAGGGUGCAAGCGUUAAUCGGAAUUACUGGGCGUAAAGCGCGCGUAGGCGGUCUUUUAAGUUGGAUGUGAAAUCCCCGGGCUUAACCUGGGCACUGCAUUCAAGACUGGGAGACUUGAGUUUGGGAGAGGGUGGUGGAAUUUCCGGUGUAGCGGUGAAAUGCGUAGAUAUCGGAAGGAACAUCAGUGGCGAAGGCGACUGCCUGGCCCAAAACUGACGCUGAGGUGCGAAAGCGUGGGGAGCAAACAGG